AUCGCUUCUCGGCCUUUUGGCUAAGAUCAAGUGUAAAAUUAACUACUUGAUGACAUUUAAUGCAUAUUUGCAGCCUCUGCAUGACCAAAGUGGUCUUGGCCAUGUUUGUGAUGUAAGACUUCAAUAUAUUUUCCUAUGAUGUGAACUUUU
Molecule: small nuclear RNA, 150 nt
Filed under: Zalophus californianus (California sea lion)
Lineage: Eukaryota; Metazoa; Chordata; Mammalia; Carnivora; Otariidae
Description: U2 spliceosomal RNA (ENSZCAG00015000369.1)
Rfam family: U2 spliceosomal RNA
About the family: U2 is a small nuclear RNA (snRNA) component of the spliceosome (involved in pre-mRNA splicing).
Source: RNAcentral